UUAAACUGAAGAGUUUGAUCAUGGCUCAGAUUGAACGUUGGCGGCACGCUUUAGACAUGCAAGUCGAACGAGAAAGCACUUCGGUGUGAGUACAGUGGCGGACGGGUGAGUAACGCGUAGGAAUCUACCUAGUAGUGGGGGACAACUCGGGGAAACUCGAGCUAAUACCGCAUACGCUCUUAGGAGGAAAGUGGGGGAUCUUCGGACCUCACGCUAUUAGAGGAGCCU
RNAcentral lists this ribosomal RNA (228 nucleotides) under Gammaproteobacteria bacterium. RNAcentral's name for it is "partial 16S ribosomal RNA". It matches the Rfam family "Bacterial small subunit ribosomal RNA", at positions 1 to 232 of the family's 1533-position model. Lineage: Bacteria; Pseudomonadati; Pseudomonadota; Gammaproteobacteria. The record is from RNAcentral.